GUUGACUGCCAGAGUGAUCCAAAGCUGUGACCUCCCGAACCGAAGGUAAAAAUGAUAUGGGAGCUGGACUCUCCAUUUCACCAGGGGAGGUAGAUCCCCAUGUUGCCAGAAUUAUGGAGAAGUUCUAACGAGUGCUUGUGGGUACAACCACCCCAGGAACGUAAGACACUUAGAGGUGGAGGUAAAGUACUGAUCUGCUUUGCAGGUAUGGAGGUCUGCAUUCGCUGGUGAAACUCUG
Non-coding RNA from Pelobates cultripes (western spadefoot toad), 238 nucleotides. The record is from the annotation of a GenBank genome assembly. Lineage: Eukaryota; Metazoa; Chordata; Amphibia; Anura; Pelobatidae.